GACGAACGCUGGCGGCGUGCUUAACACAUGCAAGUCGAACGGAAAGGCCCUGCUUUUGUGGGGUGCUCGAGUGGCGAACGGGUGAGUAACACGUGAGUAACCUGCCCUUGACUUUGGGAUAACUUCAGGAAACUGGGGCUAAUACCGGAUAGGAGCUCCUGCCGCAUGGUGGGGGUUGGAAAGUUUCGGCGGUUGGGGAUGGACUCGCGGCUUAUCAGCUUGUUGGUGGGGUAGUGGCUUACCAAGGCUUUGACGGGUAGCCGGCCUGAGGGGGUGACCGGCCACAUUGGGACUGAGAUACGGCCCAGACUCCUACGGGAGGCAGCAGUGGAGAAUAUUGCACAAUGGGCGGAAGCCUGAUGCAGCAACGCCGCGUGCGGGAUGACGGCCUUCGGGUUGUAAACAGCUUUCGCCUGUGACGAAGCGUGAGUGACGGUAAUGGGUAAAGAAGCACCGGCUAACUACGUG
Molecule: ribosomal RNA, 468 nt
Filed under: uncultured bacterium
Lineage: Bacteria
Description: partial 16S ribosomal RNA
Rfam family: Bacterial small subunit ribosomal RNA
Source: RNAcentral